Molecule: long non-coding RNA, 1746 nt
Filed under: Oreochromis niloticus (Nile tilapia)
Lineage: Eukaryota; Metazoa; Chordata; Actinopteri; Cichliformes; Cichlidae
Description: lncRNA (ENSONIG00000036305.1)
Source: RNAcentral
AUGAGAAUAAAGGAGGAUGCUGAUCACCUGACGUCAUUGCCAGCUACCUCCAGCUGCCCCAUGCCAAUCAUCAAGCUGAAACCAACAGCCCUUCCCAAGUUUCUUGGAAAUAAACGAGACUUCCACAGAUGGAAGGAAUGGGAGGCUCUUCAGGGGCAGGCAGAGCCAUCUGGUUUGAAAGAGAUCAAAAAGUUUCAGCUACUUGAUAGUGUGGAUGAGAAAAUAAUGAGAGAACUUCGACUCACCACUUACAACACUGCAGAUGACAUCUUUCGUGUUUUGGAGAAUUGGUUCAGCAAUCAAACAUCAAUUGCUAUUGAAAUAGUGGAGGAGUUACCGAGAAUGCCAGCUGUUAAGAGCCACCAGCCAAGAAAAAUAGUGGAAUUAAUUCAAGCUGUGGAGAAGGCGCUUCAAGACCUGGUUGACCUUGGUGACACAGGGGCUAUAAAAAACCCAUUGGUGACAAAGUCAAUCGAAAGUAAACUUCCAGAAACACUCAAAAAGGAGUGGCUUAUUUAUGUUGCUGACAGUAGAAACACGGUCACCCCAGAAAAACGAUUUGAUAGUCUUCUGGAAUUCCUCAAAGAGCAAGAAACCAUAUAUGAACAGCUUGAUCAUCUGAGAGAGGAAGAGCCAAGUAAGCGAGAAAGAGUGGAGCUGAAACAUUCCAGAACCAAAUUCACCAAAUUAGGCAGUGAUGAAGGGUGUGUGGUCUGCGGUGAUGGAAAGCAUAAAAAGAAACUCUACUUCUGCAGGCAGUUUAAAACAUUGACACUUGCAGAAAAGAAGGCUGCAAUUAAGAAACUAGGGGCAUGCUGGAGUUGUCUCGAGGUUCAUGAGAAUGGGUCAUACUGCAAACCCACUUAUCUGUGCAAAAGCCCAGGCUGCAAAGAAGCGCACGCUGCAGAGCACCAUUACUACCUAUGCCCAAAUGCUGAGGUGAGGAAGGGAAGUGCAGCAGGGAGGCAGAACAGAUCUGAUCCAGAGGGAGGAAAGGUCAGCAGGAAAUGUACGGAGGAUCAGGAGGAGUUCCUCAGAAAACUAUCACCUGAACUGGCAAGAGAAUGCAGGGAUGCAUUUUCAAACACUGCAUCCAGGGCAUGCAGCACCACCAAGGAGCAGCCAAGUCUCCUAUUUGAAGGUGGGCUUCGAGAGCUGCCAGUAAUCAUGAUGCUCCUCGAGGUCACAGCUAAUGCUGGGCAAAAGAUUGGGACAUUAAUUGACCUGGCUUCUGACACCAACUAUAUAACCCACAGGGCUGCAAGUAGUCUUAACCUAAGAAGUGAAGAAAUCACUCUGGUUGUUCAUGGAGUAGGGGGAAUGAAAACGCAUGUGAAAACAAGGCGGUACCUUUUAAAGAUCCGAGUCAGAACGCCUAGAGGCACCCUUAGGUCACACCAACUGAUCUGCUAUGGACUCGACAGCAUAGCAGAAGUCCACAAGCAUGUCACACCGAGUCAGCUACAAAGGUUCUUUCCGGAUAUACCACUCGACGAUCUUGUAAGACCGAAAGACAUUCAUCUGCUUAUAAGUCAAAAAGAAGGUCGGCUAGCGCCUCAGAGGAGCAGAGUCAUCGGUGACCUUGUGUUAUGGGAUGGGCCACUUGGAAAGACAUUUGGGGGAACUCACCCUGAGCUCUUCGAGGAGCUUACUGUCUCUGCCCACAUGUCCAAGACACACUUUGCCAGGUCAAUGAGAGUGGCAGCUGUCAAGUAUGAGGAGCUCAUUGGCGAGGCCUCAGACUAG